AAUUCUAGAAUGCAACGGGUAUAUUAGUGACGUGGCGUAACAAACCAAUCAAAUUAAUCCUUUUAAGAAUAUAUGUCCCAUCAUGAUUGUAAAAAAGUAUUUUUAUUGUACUUUUGUUUGAAAAGAAGGAAUGUGAUUGGCUUGUUAUUGAUGACGUGGUGCAAGUGUGACAGUGUAGAAUUCCUCCACCCUGAGGCUGACUACAGCAGAUCGGGAGGUGACAGUUCCUAUUUUCCUGUUUCCAUUUCCUUAUAAAAUAUUUUAAUAAAAAAUAUUAAUUAAUAUAUUUUAAUUUUAUAUUAUUUUAUUAACCUGAUUUUUAAUUAAAUAAAUUUAAAUAAAAAUUAUUGAAGAAUUAAAAUAAUUUAAAUUGGUUUAUGUUUGACGUAAAUUUUGCAAGAACUAUUGGUAACUAAAUUAUUUUAGGGUAAACUUCAAAUACCACCCCUGUGGUUUCGCACUCUCUCACUUUAGUACCAUGUGAUUUAAAGUGUAUCGAGUUAGUGUCCUGUGAUUUUAUUUUUAUUUUUUCGUCAGCUUCUCCUUAAUAUUUCGUUAAAUUAUGUAUAAAAAGUUUCAGAUUUAUCAAAUAUUUACUUUAGUACCCUUUAGUUUUAACUUUGUCAUUUAUUUAACGAAAAAAAUUAAUGGAAUUGAUAAUAAAAAAAAUAAAAAUGAAAACACAAGGCACUAAAUUGAUGCACUUUAAAUUACAGGGUAUUAAAGUGAGAAAGUGUGAAACCAUAGGGAUAGUAUUUGAAGUUUUCCCAUUAUUUUAUAAAGGCAUAUGCGAAAAAAUAAUUAGGAAAAAAAUUAUCAAAAUAAUUUUAAAAAUUUAUUUAAAUUAAAAAUUUAAUAUAUUAACUGUUAGUUAUUAGUUAUUUAAUUUUAUUUCAUAAAAAGUUAUUAUAAUUAUUGA
Molecule: long non-coding RNA, 919 nt
Filed under: Ananas comosus (pineapple)
Lineage: Eukaryota; Viridiplantae; Streptophyta; Magnoliopsida; Poales; Bromeliaceae
Description: long non-coding RNA (ACOM_LNC006979)
Source: RNAcentral